This 465-nucleotide ribosomal RNA is filed under the name Vreelandella stevensii. Its description in RNAcentral is "partial 16S ribosomal RNA". It matches the Rfam family "Bacterial small subunit ribosomal RNA", at positions 338 to 795 of the family's 1533-position model. Lineage: Bacteria; Pseudomonadati; Pseudomonadota; Gammaproteobacteria; Oceanospirillales; Halomonadaceae. The record is from RNAcentral.
CCUACGGGGGGCAGCAGUGGGGAAUAUUGGACAAUGGGCGAAAGCCUGAUCCAGCCAUGCCGCGUGUGUGAAGAAGGCCUUCGGGUUGUAAAGCACUUUCAGUGGGGAAGAAAGCCUUGGGGCUAAUACCCUCGAGGAAGGACAUCACCCACAGAAGAAGCACCGGCUAACUCCGUGCCAGCAGCCGCGGUAAUACGGAGGGUGCGAGCGUUAAUCGGAAUUACUGGGCGUAAAGCGCGCGUAGGCGGUCUGAUAAGCCGGUUGUGAAAGCCCCGGGCUCAACCUGGGAAUGGCAUCCGGAACUGUCAGGCUAGAGUGCAGGAGAGGAAGGUAGAAUUCCCGGUGUAGCGGUGAAAUGCGUAGAGAUCGGGAGGAAUACCAGUGGCGAAGGCGGCCUUCUGGACUGACACUGACGCUGAGGUGCGAAAGCGUGGGUAGCAAACAGGAUUAGAUACCCCGGUAGUC